UUUCCGUAGGUGAACCUGCGGAAGGAUCAUUAUUGUAUAACCGGCCUUCGGGGGCUGGCUCUCACCCGAUGGUUCGUUAACGCCCUAGUUCCCUCACGCACAUCCAUCUCACCCCUCUGUGCACCCCCGCGUGGGUCCCCCUUUGGCUUGUUCUGAGGGGGUCUUACUUUGUCACGCAAGCUUUCUAUGCAAUAUUGAAUGUUUUUUUUGUUUUUGCGAUUACUCAAUCAAUCCAACUUUCAACAACCGAUCUCGUGGCUCUCUCUUCGAUAAAGAACG
This 279-nucleotide unclassified non-coding RNA is filed under the name plant metagenome. RNAcentral describes it as "partial contains small subunit ribosomal RNA, internal transcribed spacer 1, and 5.8S ribosomal RNA". The record is from RNAcentral.